Molecule: ribosomal RNA, 900 nt
Filed under: uncultured bacterium
Lineage: Bacteria
Description: bacterial SSU rRNA
Rfam family: Bacterial small subunit ribosomal RNA
Source: RNAcentral
CCCUUAGAGUUUGAUCCUGGCUCAGGAUGAACGCUGGCGGCGUGCCUAAUACAUGCAAGUCGAACGAAUCUCUUUUAGAGAUGAGUGGCGAACGGGUGAGUAAUACAUAGGUAACCUGCCCCUGUGCGGGGGAUAACAGGAGGAAACUCCUGCUAAUACCGCAUAGCCAUGAGCACCGCAUGGAGCUCAUGCCAAAUAUCCUUUAUGGGAUAGCGCAGGGAUGGACCUAUGGCGCAUUAGCUGGUUGGCGGGGCAACGGCCCACCAAAGCAACGAUGCGUAGCCGGCCUGAGAGGGCGGACGGCCACAUUGGGACUGAGACACGGCCCAGACUCCUACGGGAGGCAGCAGUAGGGAAUUUUCGGCAAUGGGGGAAACCCUGACCGAGCAACGCCGCGUGAGCGAAGAAGGCCUUCGGGUCGUAAAGCUCUGUUGUAAAGGAAGAACGGCGCAUACAGGAAAUGGUAUGCGAGUGACGGUACUUUACCAGAAAGCCACGGCUAACUACGUGCCAGCAGCCGCGGUAAUACGUAGGUGGCGAGCGUUAUCCGGAAUCAUUGGGCGUAAAGAGGGAGCAGGCGGCCGCAAGGGUCUGUGGUGAAAGACCGAAGCUAAACUUCGGUAAGCCAUGGAAACCGGGCGGCUAGAGUGCGGAAGAGGAUCGUGGAAUUCCAUGUGUAGCGGUGAAAUGCGUAGAUAUAUGGAGGAACACCAGUGGCGAAGGCGACGGUCUGGGCCGCAACUGACGCUCAUUCCCGAAAGCGUGGGGAGCAAAUAGGAUUAGAUACCCUAGUAGUCCACGCCGUAAACGAUGGUCACUAAGUGUCGGGGGUCAAACCCCGGUGCUGCAGUCAACGCAAUAAGUGACCCGCCUGAGUAGUACGUUCGCAAGAAUGAAACU